Mirounga angustirostris (Northern elephant seal) is the source of this 2221-nucleotide long non-coding RNA. RefSeq lists it as uncharacterized. Lineage: Eukaryota; Metazoa; Chordata; Mammalia; Carnivora; Phocidae. The transcript has 3 exons. The record is from RefSeq and is a predicted model, not a curated record.
CAAGGGAAGGGGAAAUGAAUCCCACUGCUGAAUGGCAGGGGCAUCGAGCACCUCCAGAGAGGGGAAGAAUUCACCCCCCACCCCAGCGUGAAUGGUUUUCUUUUGUUAGUCAUAACGUCCACUAGGUUACCUGCCUAAGGGAGCACGUUUAGCCCCAAGGGUUCUUCUAGGUGAAAGGUUGUAGGUCCCUCUUAGGUGCCCCCUUUUACAGAAUAAAUAUUUACAGAUUAGAAACAGGCUCAAAGAGGUAAAGGGAGCUGCUCGAUGUCAGUUCACUUUGGGGACUUGAAGCUAAUAGAAAUGUUUCAUUAGCAUUAUUCAUACCCUGGUCCCUAACAUGGAGUCUAAUAGCCCAUUCAUAGAUGCACGUGUGACUUUAGAAUGAGUGUCAUCCAGCUGGCAGGUGGAUGAGUCAGAACUCGGAUCCGGGUUUUAGACCCAGAUCCAGGGCUCUUUCCCUCACAGUGCCCCGGGGGAGUGUCCAGAAUCAGCUGCCAGUCCACUGGCCUGGGAUGUUUGGGCGCCUUCUCUGAGGAGCCUCUGACUGGCUCCAUGCGUCCGUGAAAUCAGGGCAGUGGGCGGUGUGCCUGGGACACAGCUUCAAGGCCAGAGAAGAAGAGAUAGUGGACUGGCCACCAUCACGGAAGACCGUCAAGACUGAGCAGAAUUUAAACCUGUCUAAGCGCAGCCAAGAAAGAACCCUCUCCCCCGAGCCCCAUCCUACCCUCACUCCCCGUCAUGACUGUGCUUUAAGACCAAAGCUUUUCCAUACAUCACACCAAACGUUUCUGGAGUGGGUGAGGUCCCUCAAGGUCAGAAAACAUACAAUCAGCUGGAAAGAGGGAUUUCUGGGUCAAAAAAUAAUAGUCCGUUAAACUUCAAAAUACCUUUGGUUUUCAAUAGAGGCAGGCUUGUGCCUCAUGGGCGUUUCGUGGAAAUGUAACCACACCUGCCAUGUUAUACGGACAUCCUAGAAACGAGGCCUUUCAUUGGAUUGGUCAGCACUCAAACCCAAUCCAAAACAACAAAAACCCACCAUGCCCACUUGAGUUUGAAUUUCAGAUAAACAACAACACAUUUUUAGUAUUCACCUGUCCUUUGCAACAUUUAGGACCUAUUAUUUAAUUUAUUGUUUAUUAUUUCUAUUAUUAUUGAAUAUGUCUUAUAUAUUGAUUCAGAUAUAUUAAUACUGAAAAAUAAUUUGUCAUUUUUCUGGAAUUUGAAUUUAAAUAGGCAUCCUGUAUUUUAUCUAGCGGCCCUGUCAAGAACUGAAAAGAGGUGCAAGUUUCUUCUCAUUGCUCGGAGGUCUGAUGAUGUCUUCAAUAGAGGCUCUGUAUUUCAAGAUUCUGGUUUGUUUAUUCAAAGAAAGGCCGCCAGCAGGUCCCUCGCACCUAAUGCCUGGCACAGAGAGGGAAAUUGGCUCACCCUGCUCAAAAUAAUCCUUAGCUGUUUCUACACACACAUCUUUAUCUCGUACCAACAAGGAGAGGUUAAUACCCGGCCUGACAACAUCUGCCACCUGGCGGUGAUGCUUGUAAGGACACCCUGACGGAAAACCACCACGCCUAGCUUUGAUUACUAACUUUGUUCUUGUCACAGUGAUGAUGGUGAUGGUGACGAUCAUGAAUACGGCAAAACGGACGUGAUCUAAUUUCUGAAGUGAGGUUAUAAAAGGGACGCCAUUGAUGACAUACCACGUCACACUCCUUGGGAUGGCUCUUGUAAAACCAAAAACAAAACGGGAAACAAGUGUUGGCGAGGAUGUGGAGAAAUUGGAACCCUCGUGCCUUCCUGGUGAGAACGUAAAAUGGCCCGGCUGCCAUGGCAAACAGCAUGGUGGUUCCUCAAAAAGUUAAAUGUAGAAUUGCCGUAUGAUCCAGCAAUUCCACUCCUAGCUAUGUAUCCGAAGGACCCGGAAGCAGGGACUCCAACAGAUAUUCGCACGCCUGUGUUCACAGCAGCCAAGAGGUGGGAGCCGCCCAGUUGUCCCUCGACAGAUGAGUGGAUAACACAGUGGGGUCUAUCCAUAGAGUGGAAUAUUAUUCAGCCCCCAAAAGGAGGACGUUCUGACACAGGCUGUAACGUGGAUGAACCAUGAAGACAUUGUGCUAAGUGAAAUAAAUCAGCCACAAAAAGUCUCAUUUGGCUCCACUUGUAAGACUCUCGUCAUAUUUCAUCAAGGAGAGAAGUCAAAUUCAUAGAGCGAGAAAGUAGAACAGAG